CCGGGGAACCGAUGGCGAAGGCAGGUCUCUGGGCAUUUACUGACGCUGAGGAGCGAAAGCAUGGGGAGCGAACAGGAUUAGAUACCCUGGUAGUCCAUGCCGUAAACGUUGGGCACUAGGUGUGGGGGACAUUCCACGUUUUCCGCGCCGUAGCUAACGCAUUAAGUGCCCCGCCUGGGGAGUACGGCCGCAAGGCUAAAACUCAAAGGAAUUGACGGGGGCCCGCACAAGCGGCGGAGCAUGCGGAUUAAUUCGAUGCAACGCGAAGAACCUUACCAAGGCUUGACAUGUGCCAGACCGCCUCAGAGAUGGGGUUUCCCUUCGGGGCUGGUUCACAGGUGGUGCAUGGUUGUCGUCAGCUCGUGUCGUGAGAUGUUGGGUUAAGUCCCGCAACGAGCGCAACCCUCGUUCCAUGUUGCCAGCACGUAAAGGUGGGGACUCAUGGGAGACUGCCGGGGUCAACUCGGAGGAAGGUGGGGAUGACGUCAAAUCAUCAUGCCCCUUAUGUCUUGGGCUUCACGCAUGCUACAAUGGCCGGUACAAUGGGUUGCGAUACUGUGAGGUGGAGCUAAUCCCUAAAAGCCGGUCUCAGUUCGGAUUGGGGUCUGCAACUCGACCCCAUGAAGUCGGAGUCGCUAGUAAUCGCAGAUCAGCAACGCUGCGGUGAAUACGUUCCCGGGCCUUGUACACACCGCCCGUCAAGUCACGAAAGUUGGUAACACCCGAAGCCGAUGGCCUAACCACCUUGUGUGGGGGGAGUCGUCGAAAGUGGGACUGGCG
Molecule: ribosomal RNA, 780 nt
Filed under: Arthrobacter sp. ND70
Lineage: Bacteria; Bacillati; Actinomycetota; Actinomycetes; Micrococcales; Micrococcaceae
Description: bacterial SSU rRNA
Rfam family: Bacterial small subunit ribosomal RNA
Source: RNAcentral